CAUGUGGUGCAUUUUUGACAAUAUCCCACGCCACCAAAUUAUCAGUGAUAUUGCUGCAUGGACGGAGACUGAAUGUUCUUCGCACUGGAAAUCUCGCUCUUCGUCGUCGAAUCUGCAACAAGGUUCUCUUGCAACUUCGCCUUGAUGAAUUUGCCAUUUUGGUACGCCACUUUACCGUACACACGGUCUUCCCUCGUGCGGCCCUUGAAUAUCGCCCCGGCCAAACUAUCCAGUCCAAGUGGGGAGAAUAUCCCGCGUAGCCAGAGCUUGAAGCCGCGACCUGGCUUGCCAAGCUCUGGCAGCAGAUCCUCAUGCAAGGCGUCGAUCAGCAUGAGACCUGUGACGUCAGCGGCAUGUCGACUGGCGAAAAUGCGGCUGUAUAUCCCACCCACGCCAGCGGAUACGACGACCCAUGGCCCUUUGAUGUCUGCGAGCGCGAGGGUUUCAGAUAGGACGUCGGCGGACAUGCCCGCAGAGUGUGGAGAUGGGGCAUUGUCAGACCACCCAAUACCAGGUCUGUCCCAG
Molecule: small RNA, 525 nt
Filed under: Histoplasma ohiense
Lineage: Eukaryota; Fungi; Ascomycota; Eurotiomycetes; Onygenales; Ajellomycetaceae
Description: hypothetical lncRNA
Source: RNAcentral